CCUACGGGGGGCUGCAGUGAGGAAUAUUGGUCAAUGGGCGCGAGCCUGAACCAGCCAAGUCGCGUGAGGGAUGACGGUCCUACGGAUUGUAAACCUCUUUUGCCGGGGAGCAAGCGUGCGUUCGUGAACGCGCGUCGAGAGUACCCGGAGAAAAAGCAUCGGCUAACUCCGUGCCAGCAGCCGCGGUAAUACGGAGGAUGCGAGCGUUAUCCGGAUUUAUGGGGUUUAAAGGAUGGGUAGGCGGGAUGCAAGGUCGUCGGUAAAAAUGCGGGGCUAAACGCCGUCGAGCCGUUGAAACUGGCGUUCUUGAGUGGACGAGAAGUAUGCGGAAUGCGUGGUGUAGCGGUGAAAUGCAUAGAUAUCACGCAGAACUCCGAUUGCGAAGGCAGCAUACCGGCGUCCUACUGACGCUGAGGCACGAAAGCGUGGGUAUCGAACAGGAUUAGAUACCCGGGUAGUC
RNAcentral lists this ribosomal RNA (460 nucleotides) under uncultured bacterium. RNAcentral describes it as "partial 16S ribosomal RNA". It matches the Rfam family "Bacterial small subunit ribosomal RNA", at positions 338 to 795 of the family's 1533-position model. The record is from RNAcentral.